UCCUCAAAAUGCUGAAAUGCUUUUACAUGUAAAUUCGAAUAGAACUACAAAAAUAAAUGCCCUCCAACUUAUGUGAACAUUUUUGUGGAGCAGAAAUAGAGGGCUAGCUCUCUUGAAUCGUCACAAUAACAGUGAUAUCUCAACCAGACGAGGAUAGUAUGAGAAAGGAAUAUUAAUAGCGCAAUCUCACAUGUUUGCAAAGGUCAGAAAUUUACUCUCAUCGUUAUGCUACAGAAGUAUUUAAAUAAUCUGGCAUUACAUCACAAAGUAGGAAGCUGUGAUUUGAACAGGUGAUCUAAAGCAAUUAAGAAAAUUGAAGGCAUUCAUUAUAUGAAAGACUAUUUUAAUUAGAUCUGUGUCAGAAACAACUGUAUUUGAGUCUCCAAGUUCCCUUAUUGACUUCAUGACAGAAAACAGAUGGACUAUUAAAUAGAAAAAAUACAGAAGCUUCCCCAGACAGCAAAUCUCUUUGGGACUGUUUGAGUACCUAGAACAAAGAUUCAGACAAAAAAUCUUGCUGGUAAGAAUACCAUUUGGCAAAAAACUUUGUAAAUUCUAAGGUGUUAUAGAGGACAAAAUACAUUUUUUUACAAACAGAGACUAAUCUCUUGGGUGAUGAGAUCUUUUUGAGAUCAUUCAGAGCUCUAAUUAUUUUUUUCAUUAACUAUCUAAUGCACACAGAGCCAAAUCUUGAGAGAUUUGUAAACCUUUGGGAAUUAGUGGUAUAUUUCUAAGCUACAUCUCAACAUUUACAGAUAAUAUCAGAUUCCAGUUUUUGAAGGUAAAUGUCUUAAGGUAAGUGGACAUCAACUUCUCAGCAGUUAAGGGAAAAGACUCUACAUGAUGUUUGAAUUCUUUAUUUAGAUGCUCUAAUUAAUCAUUUAUGUUUCAGGACAUUAGAUUAAUAAUAUCAAACAGUUAAAUAGCACUUAUUAUGUACCAAUUUUCUCUUAUAACCUCUGUUAACUAAAAAAAAAAAAAUCCAAUCAAAUAGGUUUUACAGAUGAGAACGUAGAGUCAUAGGUGAUAAAAUUUACCCAAAGUCACACAAUUGUAAGUGACAAAGCCAAGAUUGGAUCCUAGGUGGACUGACUCCAGAGUGGCAUUAAGGCUGUAAUCACUAUUCUAUUGUAUUAAUUUAACUUUUGAGAUUGUAUUCAUUUAUUUUUUAAUUGACUGCAAAAAACAUACAUUGCAAGAGAGGCCAACUGCUUUGAAAACUUUGCCUAGAGAAAUGCCAUCCUGAAUUUUACAUGUACUUAUUUACUGUAUGUCCAUUUAUACACUGGAUGACUUCAUUUCCUUGAUUUGAUUCCCCAUUAUCUGCAUUUCAGUUUCAACAAUUCUAUCAGAACCUCCAAUGAGCCAAAUAAUUUCCACCUAUGUUUUAAUGCCCUCUUGUUCUGAAAUCUGUAAUUUUGUCUUAACUGGAAGAUCUUUCUUAUGCAGAUAGCUUUUGCUAUGUUAAUAGUGUCAAAUCCAAAGCACAACUGGCAAAUGCAGCAGUAAAUUGUCAAACUUAAGUUGCUGGGCUGUUAAUUGUCAUUGUUGAAGUUUGAAAAACUGUUGAGAAUAUUUAGAUGUGGAAAGGUCAACAGUCUAGGUCAUAUUGACUGCAUUUAAUGACCUCGUCCUCACGUUGACCCCAGAGCUUGUCUGGGCAGUUUGCUACAAUUGCUUCUCCUAAGACAGUGAAAAAAAGUUGGCACAAUUGCCAAUACCGCUUCUUCUUAAAUCUAAAUCAUAAUGUCCUGUUAUUCAUAGCCUCUAAUAUGCAACCAGCUCUUGACAAUGCUUCCAAAGUCAAUGUAGGAGCCUCAGGAAUCUCCUGGCAUUUUUGCUUCUUAAAUUAUAAGUAAGGUUUUUACUUUUCUAGUUGGAAGAGAGUGCUCUUCUUGAUGAGACUCAGGAACAAAUCCUGCUUUUCUCACUGAAAACAGUCAUCUACUUUCCGAUUCAUGCCCCCUGGGUAAAGCUGCCUGCUGCUUUAGGGAUCUUUGGAGUAAUACAGACAAAGUAAACUCAGAAAGUAUUUUAUAAAUGUAAAAAAUAAAAAAUAGUAACUGCUAAUUACAUGGUGGUUUAAAGUUUUCAAAACUCUGUACAGACCUUUUUGUCUUCACAAUCACUCUUUUUAUAGAUGAGGAAACAAACAUUCAGAGAUGGUGAAUGAUUUGCUCUAGUCACACAGACUCUACACCGAAGUGCUUUUAGCCUGUUGUUCUGACUCCAACAAGUUAUCUUUCUAUGUCAUUAUAUAAUUGUAGGGUAUAAGACUUGAAAUUAACAAAAAUUUUGUUCUGGUGAAAGUCAUGCAGAAGUUUUGUAACAUUUGCUUUGGAUAUGUAGGGGAGGAGAACAUUUCCUCUCCCCAAAUGGGGGUUCGUCUGGCUGGAGAACGAAUUAAAUUCACAUGAGACAGAAUAGCAAGAGAAAAUUAAACAAAGCUUUAAUGAGGAACCAUGGCCCGGGGCCUUUCUUCCCGAAGGAAGAAAGGGCACCAAAGAAGUGGAGUGCACAGAGUGGUUAUAUAGCCCCCAAACGGGGUGUUUCACAUGUGAUUGAAAAGUCCCUUUUACAAUAGUCACGAGGCUGCUCUGCCAGCACAGCGCUUGAUGGAAACGGCAGAUAGGUCUGCUGUCUCAGUGAGCGCCGCAGGGUGGCAGGUGUGUUGCCUCGGGCUGGGUGGGGGGUCACAGAUGAGCGCUGCAAUCGGUUCCCAGCCUAAAGAAAGAUGCUUAAUCUUUAAGGAGAUGCCAACGUUGGGAGGGGGAGGGAAGUCAGUUACAGGAGGUUACCAGACUAGCACAAUAAAAUGCAGAUUUUAAGUCCUUGCCUUUGGUAUUGAUUAAGAGUUUUUGGAGAGUAGGUCAUCGCCUUUCUUCUUCCUGGUACAGAGAGGGAGGCACCUUUUACAGAUAGAGAUUUACCUUACAAAUGUAAACGUGUCCUAACAAAGGGCAAGUUCCAUUCCUCAGAGCCUCCUUGCCUGUCCCAGUUUAUCAAAAGCAGUGAGCCUCAAAUAAUCCUGAUGCCAAAGAGACAUAUCUUGGGGUGGCGAAUUUCAGUCCAGUUAAAGUCAUUUUAGGGGCUGGCCCCGUGGCCGAGUGGUUAAGUUCGCGCGCUCCGCUGCAGGCGGCCCAGUGUUUCGUUGGUUCGAGUCCUGGGCGCGGACAAGGCACUGCUCAUCAAACCACGCUGAGGCAGCGUCCCACAUGCCACAACUAGAAGGACCCACAAUGAAGAAUAUACAACUAUGUACCGGGGGGGCUUUAGGGAGAAAAAGGAAAAAAAUAAAAUCUUUAAAAAAAAAAAAUAAAUAAAUAAAGUCAUUUUAGAAGGCGGCGAUGCAGGUGGGCUCCCAAAGUUAGGCCUAUAUUUUGGAAGCAAGCAAUCAGGUAUUUAAUAAGUAUUUCUAUGGACAUAAAAAGAAAACCAAGGUUAAUGGUUGGAGCAAAUUAUAAACUAGUUCCUGAGUCCAGGAGGCAGCCAGUCAAGAAGACUUCUAGGUGUCAGAGUGAAGCAUCUUUAGCAGCUUGAAAGUCUCUGAUGAUGUCAUCAGGCAUUCAGGUAUCUUUCUGAGUGGCUUACAGCUUACACAGCAACAGACAGGAAUCUCUCUUAAGUUUCUAUCAAGUUGUUCAGCUUUAGUUAGCAAGGCUUCAGGAAAAAGAGAAGGUUCAAUUCUCAAUGAUUCCAAAUGAAAAUGAGGUAAAAAAAUUGAAAACAUUAGUUUGGAGAUUUGUAACCAGAUAUUUCAGCAGAAGAAUUCAGGAUCCAGUCAAGUUCACAAGUAGAAAAAAAAACCCAAAGACAAUUAACAAAACUAGGAUCUAACAUCCACAAAUGGGUCUUAUAGUUUUUCACUGAAACAUAGUUCUUCUCUCUAAAAUCACCCUCAUUUUUACCAAAGACAGCCAAAUUAAGACUAAUUGGUUUGCAAAAUAAGUUUAGUUUCAAGAAAAUUGGCCCAAUUAUUUACAUAAGUGCAGCAAGAAUAGCAGUUGAUCAUAUAGGCUCUUAAAUCUGCUUUGCUGGAAUUUUUUAUGAGGAAUCUCAGAUUGAACUUUAAAGACCUCUCGAGGCCAGGAAAGCCAAGCCAAGGACUUGCUGUCAGAUUUUGCCUGCAGUACCUACAGAUUUGGGUGGACUCCUCUCUUCUCGAGGUCCUCCAAAAUACUCUGAGGUUCCUUGCACCUGCCAGAUAAGCAAGCUUCCUUACUUACCAGGUAAGACUGCUGGAAUCUCUCUCUGUAAAGCAAGGUACCAGGCCCAUAUUUACAAGUGGCUUAUUUUCACAAAGUCAACCUUAUUCCUCAAAGGCAGUAUUGUCAUAUCCGAGUCUGUAUGUUUCUCUCAAAUAUGACAUUCCAGUCAAAGCCUUGGUAAUACAACCAAUGUGUCCUGUUAUAAGGAGAACAGAUUCUUAUUGAACUUAUGCAAAUAAUUAUAUUGCCAUGAAAUAACCAUACUCACAAAGAGUUUCCAUAUUCUCAAGGGAUCAGGUAGGGAGAAAAAGAUAAAUGUUUCAGUUUUGCUCACAAAGGUAUAACUUCACCAAAUUGCUAAGUCAUAGUUAGCACAAGAGAAAAGAGAAAAAGAUUUUCUUGAAUCUGAAAAAACAAAGCAAAACAUCAAAAAAAUCAACAAUAUUUCAAAUAAAAGUCAUAAAAAUUAUCAUCCUCAGUUCAUUCAGUCCUGUAUAACCGGUUCUUGAUCUUAAUCUUCUGUUAGCAGUUUUAUGUGGUCAUCAGUUUCUCCAUUAGAUUUCUGUAAUUCCUUACCCAGAGUUCAGUUCUAUGAUCUGAAAGUUUAUCAGAAAACUGUGUUCCAGAGUAAGUGUCAGAGUCCUUUCCAUGAAUCCCUCUGAAGAUGAGACAUAUUUGCAAAAGCAAAAAGCAUCAGAGUAAAACAACUGACUGUAAACAACAAAGACUUAAAAAUGACAAUUGACAGAGAAACUUAUUAUUCCUGUGAUAGACAACAGCUUAAAAUAAGCAGAAUUAUGACUGAUAGCCAGGACAGAUCAGAAUUUUAGGAGUGUUAUAUAAUUUCAGAACAUUUAUAUCAGUAACAUUUACCCACAUAAUACCACUUAAGAAAGAUUAUCAUCACUUAUAUGACAAUGCUUCCAAUGUAAUUUAACAGACCAAUAAGCCUAAUUAGUUUAGAAUUUUCCACCUUAUAGGAAGAGAGCAAAUUUCUCUGUGAAGUCCCAGUGGCCCUCUGAAAAUCCCCAGAGAAAUCCUCUUCCUUCAUCCAGGUCAAAAGAAAGCAUUUAUUCAGGACUUGAAUAUUUUUGAGGGAGAAGCUUGUCAAAAAUAUCAAAAGGUUUUAAAACGCUGAUUUUGUCAUUGUAAAACAAGGGUCAAUGAAACAAUGCUUCAUAAUAUUUAACCAAAGUGACAAUAGCAAAAAAACCUUAAUAGACCUCUGUCUUUUGCAUAGAGAGAUUAUCUUAACCAAACAUAGAUCCUCUAAACCUUUUAUAAUCUCUUUAUCAAGAGCAGACUAAGAGUUUAAGAAAAGUAUCCUUUUGAGAGAGAAAGCCAAAUUCUAAUUUUUGUACCAGUUUACUCUUUUUUUUUUCAUAUUGAAACCCAUUUACUUAAUUAGAUUCAUUUCAAUCUUAACCAAC
This 5638-nucleotide long non-coding RNA is filed under the name Equus caballus (horse). Its description in RNAcentral is "lncRNA (ENSECAG00000048049.1)". Lineage: Eukaryota; Metazoa; Chordata; Mammalia; Perissodactyla; Equidae. The record is from RNAcentral.